This 1123-nucleotide long non-coding RNA is filed under the name Mytilus galloprovincialis (Mediterranean mussel). Lineage: Eukaryota; Metazoa; Mollusca; Bivalvia; Mytilida; Mytilidae. The record is from RNAcentral.
AUUUUUGGCACAUUAUUUCAUAAAAAUACAAUAUUUUAUAACGAAGAGUAUUUGAACAGUUAUUGCAAGUUGUCAUGACAAUUGCAGAAAACAACAAAAGUAUACAUUAUGGACUAAAAUCUUAUAAAGAAAGUAAAAUUUACAUGGAGGAUCCAAUUAUUGCUAUUGAAAAGUUUUAGUAAUACUUGUAUAAGUUUAUUAACACGAUUUUAUUAUUUACUUUUUUCUCUGAUUUCUUGUUCAUUUUAAUCGCUUCAUACAAGUUGUAUGUUUACUCCAGCGAAAAACUCAAGUUAAGCAAAACAAACCAUUGAACAAUCUAACAUGACAUUAUUGUCUCAAGAAUAAACAAAAACAAAACUAUUCUAAGAUCGAAGCAGUGUCAAAUGAUGAAGACAAAUAUAUAUUUUAACAAUAACAAACCUUCAGAAGUCUGAAAAACAGAAUAAAAAAUGCAGAAGGUUUAAGUUUUGUUUUGUUCCUUGGAUCCCAAAAUUCCAAAAUACUAUAAAUCUAUGAAAUGAUGUCACCAAGGCUUUUGCAAGUCAUCAUUUUAGUAUUUCGGAUAUUAGUUGUUACAACCCUGAUCUAAUCAAAGAUAUUUGUAAAACUGCUAUUUUUUGUCAAAUAUGCCGACUGUGUUUUCGCAUUAACUAAAUAAAAACCACAACUGCACUAAAAAAAUGGAACUGCAACUAACAUAGCGUGAAGAGAUUGAAGAUUCCCCAUCCCCUGAAAUAAAAAAGCAAACAUAAUCCUUAACAUUUAAAAAAACACAACAUGUCAUUAACAAGUAAUGUAUCGGCAGCCCAUGUUUUAAAAAUAUUUCUUAAUUAAAAAAAAAAUGACUAAAAGAUAAUUUUAAAACAAAGAUGUAACAUAAAAAUAAAAUUUGAGAGAAUUCUGCCAAGAAAGUGGUGUUCCUCAUAAACUGGAAUGACUUCUCUGGUUUAGGACUUUUGCCUGAAAAAGAAAGAUGGAAACAAUUUGAAAGCUGUAAAUAAUUACAAAAUGUAUAUGAACUCACAAAUGACUAAUAAUUUAAAGAUUGAAAAGACAAAUCUCAAAAUAUUUGUAGUUGUUGUACAUGUUGUAGCUGAUAUAACUAUUCCCCUACUCAUCU